GCUCCGUUGGUGAACCAGCGGAGGGAUCAUUACCGAGUUUACAACUCCCAAACCCCUGUGAACAUACCUAUCGUUGCCUCGGCGGUGCCCGCUCCGGCGGCCCGCCAGAGGACCCCCAAACUCUUGUUUUAUACAGUAUCUUCUGAGUAACACGAUUAAAUAAAUCAAAACUUUCAACAACGGAUCUCUUGGUUCUG
This 197-nucleotide unclassified non-coding RNA is filed under the name plant metagenome. Its description in RNAcentral is "partial contains small subunit ribosomal RNA, internal transcribed spacer 1, and 5.8S ribosomal RNA". The record is from RNAcentral.